RNAcentral lists this ribosomal RNA (417 nucleotides) under uncultured bacterium. Its description in RNAcentral is "bacterial SSU rRNA". It matches the Rfam family "Bacterial small subunit ribosomal RNA", at positions 355 to 786 of the family's 1533-position model. The record is from RNAcentral.
UGGGGAAUAUUGGGCAAUGGGCGCAAGCCUGACCCAGCAACGCCGCGUGAAGGAAGAAGGCUUUCGGGUUGUAAACUUCUUUUCUCAGGGACGAAGCAAGUGACGGUACCUGAGGAAUAAGCCACGGCUAACUACGUGCCAGCAGCCGCGGUAAUACGUAGGUGGCAAGCGUUAUCCGGAUUUACUGGGUGUAAAGGGCGUGUAGGCGGGGAAGCAAGUCAGAUGUGAAAACCAUGGGCUCAACUCAUGGCCUGCAUUUGAAACUGUUUUUCUUGAGUACUGGAGAGGCAGACGGAAUUCCUAGUGUAGCGGUGAAAUGCGUAGAUAUUAGGAGGAACACCAGUGGCGAAGGCGGUCUGCUGGACAGCAACUGACGCUGAGGCGCGAAAGCGUGGGGAGCAAACAGGAUUAGAUACC